GAAAAAGUUAAUUGAAGCUGCUAACUUUGAUGUGGGGUUAAACUCCCUUUUUCU
This 54-nucleotide transfer RNA is filed under the name Galba pervia. RNAcentral's name for it is "tRNA-Ser". Lineage: Eukaryota; Metazoa; Mollusca; Gastropoda; Lymnaeidae. RNAcentral also lists the same sequence under 1 other name. The record is from RNAcentral.